GAUGAACGCUGGCGGCGUGCCUAAUACAUGCAAGUCGAGCGAACGGACGAGAAGCUUGCUUCUCUGAUGUUAGCGGCGGACGGGUGAGUAACACGUGGAUAACCUACCUAUAAGACUGGGAUAACUUCGGGAAACCGGAGCUAAUACCGGAUAAUAUUUUGAACCGCAUGGUUCAAAAGUGAAAGACGGUCUUGCUGUCACUUAUAGAUGGAUCCGCGCUGCAUUAGCUAGUUGGUAAGGUAACGGCUUACCAAGGCAACGAUGCAUAGCCGACCUGAGAGGGUGAUCGGCCACACUGGAACGGAGACACGGUCCAGACUCCUACGGGAGGCAGCAGUAGGGAAUCUUCCGCAAUGGGCGAAAGCCUGACGGAGCAACGCCGCGUGAGUGAUGAAGGUCUUCGGAUCGUAAAACUCUGUUAUUAGGGAAGAACAUAUGUGUAAGUAACUGUGCACAUCUUGACGGGACCUAAUCAGAAAGCCACGGCUAACGACG
This 495-nucleotide ribosomal RNA is filed under the name uncultured bacterium. RNAcentral describes it as "partial 16S ribosomal RNA". It matches the Rfam family "Bacterial small subunit ribosomal RNA", at positions 28 to 505 of the family's 1533-position model. The record is from RNAcentral.